RNAcentral lists this ribosomal RNA (477 nucleotides) under uncultured bacterium. RNAcentral's name for it is "partial 16S ribosomal RNA". It matches the Rfam family "Bacterial small subunit ribosomal RNA", at positions 28 to 523 of the family's 1533-position model. The record is from RNAcentral.
GACGAACGCUGGCGGCGUGCUUAACACAUGCAAGUCGAACGGUAAGGCCCUUCGGGGUACACGAGUGGCGAACGGUGAGUAACACGUGGGUGAUCUGCCCUGCACUUCGGGAUAAGCCUGGGAAACUGGGUCUAAUACCGGAUAGGACCACUGCCUGCAUGGGUGGUGGUGGAAAGCUUUUGCGGUGUGGGAUGGGCCCGCGGCCUAUCAGCUUGUUGGUGGGGUGAUGGCCUACCAAGGCGACGACGGGUAGCCGGCCUGAGAGGGUGACCGGCCACACUGGGACUGAGAUACGGCCCAGACUCCGACGGGAGGCAGCAGUGGGGAAUAUUGCACAAUGGGCGCAAGCCUGAUGCAGCGACGCCGCGUGAGGGAUGACGGCCUUCGGGUUGUAAACCUCUUUCAGCACCGACGAAGCGCAAGUGACGGUAGGUGCAGAAGAAGGACCGGCCAACUACGUGCCAGCAGCCGCCGUAA